ACGACCAUAUCACGUUGUAACAUCGGUUCCGGUAUGAUCACCUAAGUUAAGCAACGUCGAGCCUCGAAGUAGCUAGAUGGGUAACCGCUUAGGAAUAUCGGGUGCUGUAAG
Non-coding RNA from Acanthosepion pharaonis, 111 nucleotides. The record is from the annotation of a GenBank genome assembly. NCBI's taxonomy places the organism in Eukaryota, Metazoa, Mollusca, Cephalopoda, Sepiida, Sepiidae.